UGUAUGUGUGUGUGUCUCUGUAUGUAUGUGUCUGUAUGAUACAGACACAUACAUACAGAGACACACACAUGCACA
This is a non-coding RNA of Pelobates cultripes (western spadefoot toad), 75 nucleotides long. The record is from the annotation of a GenBank genome assembly. NCBI's taxonomy places the organism in Eukaryota, Metazoa, Chordata, Amphibia, Anura, Pelobatidae.